Molecule: ribosomal RNA, 228 nt
Filed under: uncultured eukaryote
Lineage: Eukaryota
Description: partial 18S ribosomal RNA
Rfam family: Eukaryotic small subunit ribosomal RNA
Source: RNAcentral
GGGAAACUCACCAGGCCAGGACACUAAAAGGAUUGACAGAUUGAUAGCUUUUUCUAGAUAUGGUGGUUGGUGGUGCAUGGCCGUUCUUAGUUGGUGGAGUGAUUUGUCUGGUUAAUUCCGAUAACGAACGAGACCUUAACCUGCUAAAUAGUGACGCGGUUCAUCGAACCGUGGGCCACUUCUUAGAGGGACUAUCGGAUUCAAACCGAUGGAAGUGUGAGGCAAUAA